Molecule: ribosomal RNA, 749 nt
Filed under: Nakamurellaceae bacterium
Lineage: Bacteria; Bacillati; Actinomycetota; Actinomycetes; Nakamurellales; Nakamurellaceae
Description: bacterial SSU rRNA
Rfam family: Bacterial small subunit ribosomal RNA
Source: RNAcentral
AACGGAAAGGCCCGCUUGCGGGUACUCGAGUGGCGAACGGGUGAGUAACACGUGGGCAACCUGCCCUCAGCUCUGGGAUAACUCCGGGAAACCGGUGCUAAUACUGGAUACGACUGCGCAUCGCAUGGUGUGUGGUGGAAAGUUUUUCGGCUGAGGAUGGGCCCGCGGCCUAUCAGCUUGUUGGUGGGGUAAUGGCCUACCAAGGCGACGACGGGUAGCCGGCCUGAGAGGGCGACCGGCCACACUGGGACUGAGACACGGCCCAGACUCCUACGGGAGGCAGCAGUGGGGAAUAUUGCGCAAUGGGCGAAAGCCUGACGCAGCGACGCCGCGUGAGGGAUGACGGCCUUCGGGUUGUAAACCUCUUUCAGCUCUGACGAAGCGAAAGUGACGGUAGGAGCAGAAGAAGCACCGGCCAACUACGUGCCAGCAGCCGCGGUAAUACGUAGGGUGCAAGCGUUGUCCGGAAUUAUUGGGCGUAAAGAGCUCGUAGGCGGUUUGUCGCGUCGAAUGUGAAAACCCGGGGCUCAACUCCGGGCCUGCAUUCGAUACGGGCAGACUAGAGUUCGGUAGGGGAGACUGGAAUUCCUGGUGUAGCGGUGAAAUGCGCAGAUAUCAGGAGGAACACCGGUGGCGAAGGCGGGUCUCUGGGCCGAUACUGACGCUGAGGAGCGAAAGCGUGGGGAGCGAACAGGAUUAGAUACCCUGGUAGUCCACGCCGUAAACGUUGGGCGCUAGGUGUGGGGGUC